RNAcentral lists this ribosomal RNA (281 nucleotides) under uncultured bacterium. RNAcentral's name for it is "partial 16S ribosomal RNA". It matches the Rfam family "Bacterial small subunit ribosomal RNA", at positions 524 to 803 of the family's 1533-position model. The record is from RNAcentral.
UACGUAGGGUCCAAGCGUUAAUCGGAAUUACUGGGCGUAAAGCGUGCGCAGGCGGUUCGCAAAGACAGGUGUGAAAUCCCCGGGCUUAACCUGGGAACUGCGCUUGUAACUAGCGGGCUAGAGUACGGCAGAGGGGGGUGGAAUUCCACGUGUAGCAGUGGAAAUGCGUAGAGAUGUGGAGGAACACCGAUGGCGAAGGCAGCCCCCUGGGCUAGUACUGACGCUCAUGCACAAAAGCGUGGGGAGCAAACAGGAAUUAGAUACCGGGACGGUCAGACCAA